GCUUGGGCGGGGCGGGAGGCGGAGGCGCCGCGUAGGCCGGGGAGGCCGGCCCGGCCCGGCUGGGAACUCGAGCCCCAUGAGCCGCCGCCUCCCCCAACGAUGUUCCCCUCCCGGAGGAAAACGGCACAGCUGCCCUGGGAGGACGGCAGCAAGCCCUCUGCUGUAUGACUCGUGCUAGAGCCACAGCUGUGAAUCUGAUUACCUGUGAAGAAGACAAGCAUGGACACAGGUCCAGGUUGAUCCCCAGCGGCCUCCCCCGGAAAUGCUCCGUCUUCCACCUCUUUGUUGCCUGUCUCUUACUGGGCUUCCUCUCCCUGCUCUGGCUGCAGCUCAGCUGCUCUGGGGACAUGGCCCGGGCAGCCAGGGGACAAGGACAGGAGACCCCGGGCCCAUCCCGGGCCUGCCCACCAGAGCCACCCCCUGAGCACUGGGAAGAAGAUGAAUCAUGGGGCCCCCACCGCCUGGCAGUGCUGGUGCCCUUUCGAGAACGCUUCGAGGAGCUCCUGGUCUUUGUGCCCCACAUGCACCGCUUCCUGAGCAGGAAGAAGAUCCAGCACCACAUCUAUGUGCUCAACCAGGUGGAUCAUUUCAGCCUCGGUGCCCUGCACAGGUUCAACCGGGCAGCACUCAUCAACGCGGGCUUUCUGGAGAGCAGCAACAGCACAGACUACAUCGCCAUGCACGACGUGGACCUGCUCCCUCUCAAUGAGGAGCUGGACUAUGGCUUCCCAGAGACCGGGCCCUUCCACGUGGCCUCCCCGGAGCUCCACCCGCUCUACCACUACAAGACCUACGUCGGUGGCAUCCUGCUGCUUUCCAAGCAGCACUACCAGCUGUGCAACGGGAUGUCCAACCGCUUCUGGGGCUGGGGCCGUGAGGACGACGAGUUCUACCGGCGCAUCAAAGGAGCCGGGCUCCAGCUUUUCCGCCCCUCGGGAAUCACAACUGGGUACAAGACAUUUCGCCACCUGCAUGACCCAGCCUGGAGGAAGAGGGACCAGAAGCGCAUCGCGGCUCAAAAACAGGAGCAGUUCAGGGUGGACCGGGAGGGAGGCCUGAGCACCGUGAAGUACCGCGUGGAUUCCCGUACAGCCCUGUCUGUGGGUGGGGCCCCCUGCACUGUUCUUAACAUCAUGUUGGACUGUGACAAGGCUGCCACCCCCUGGUGCACAUUCAGCUGAGUUGGCUGGACAGCAAGGAAGCCUGUGCCUACAGGGCAUACUGCUACUCAAGCCCAGGACAAAGCCUCAGGCCCUGGGCCCAGCUCCAAUAGGACGUGGAGUGGCCUGAAUCAGUGGACAGCAAGCCACGUGUUUGCAGCAGCCCGGCCCCCAGAGGCAGGCUUGAGCCAGGAGAGGACACACGCAGGGUGCCUGGGACGCUGCCAGCAAUAAACAGUGAUGGAGAGAGGCUGGGACAUGGCUUCCAACUGAGACUCUCCACCCUGCCUUCCUGCUUGCCCUGCCCUACCCUCCUUUGUGUGCUGAGAUCUGCAAGAUCUUGUUCCUUCUCCUGGACUGCCAGGCCACUGAUGUGGGUGGCCAGGGCCAUCAGGAGGGUUAAAACUGCAGAGACCAGUGUGCAAGCCCCACUUAAAGGGAGCAGCUGAGACCAGCUCUAGCUGGUUGUCACCCUGAAGGAGUGUGGGCCUGGUGUUGCCAGAUCUUCUGAUUUCUCAAAAGAAAGUAGAAUUCUGGAUUCUUGAGUGAAAUUGGUUAAUUUUUAAAUGAUAGCAACUAAUUCAAACUUUUAACAAGUAUGGCAAGCCAAACCAAAUGUGUUUUGAACCACCAGUUUGUCACCUGUGGCUGAGGAGAAGGGGAUGGGGCAAAAGAUGACGCUUCUCUUAGUUAUAAGCUGGCAAGGAGUUGGGGCAGGGCUAGGGAAGACGAGGCCAGGGGAAGCUCAGGUGGGAGAGAACCCCAAGGCACAAGGUCCCUACUCCCUCCCUCAGCACUCCAGGCUUUGCUGCCCUUCUGGACAGCCUGACCACUGCCAGGCUCUGGUGGGCUCCGACUGGAAGGGGUGCUUCAUCCUGCCUCACUGAGAUGGACAGAAAUAGAUCACAGGACUGAACUGAGGGUAGGCAGGCUGCAUCUGCAAAGACUCACUGGGUCAUGGCUCAGGGAGGGAAGACCACGUUUCUGAGGCGGGAGGAAGAUGAGAAGUAGGAGAACCCCUCGAGUAUUCCCAAAGCACGAGGGGAGAUUACCAGUGGUCACCAAAUGCCACAGAGAGGUGAGGGAGGGGAGCCAAGGGAGCUGGUGGAACUGGGGAGUCAUCUUGGAGGAACCAUCUGGAGGUAAGCCCAGGGCCAGUGAGAGAGGGAAGUGAUGGGCCCUGAAAGGUAAAUCACUCCUUCAGGGCAUUUGACUGCCAAAGAUUUGGGGCAGAAGUCAGAGGAGACUGGGACCAGUUAAGGUUAGUUUGUUUAACAAUAAAUAGGACACCUGAAGUGCAAGAGGAAGGACUGAGGUCUCCGAUUUCAGGAGGGUAGAAUUCAGCAGCUCUGCUCCAAAAAGACUCCUCCAAGGAUGAUCUUAGGGCUGCUGUGUGCAGUUGUGUGGGUUGUGCACUAUACAACCUGAGCAUAAACCAAGAGGUUUAAGCAAAGAUGAGUGGAGGGAGUGAAGAGCUUCAGGUUCCAUGUAACUAUUCAAACUUAUAAGAGAGGGUCCUUGGGAUCCUAAAUUGACCUCUCCCAGCAGUUCAGUUUUACUCUCUAUGGUGAAGGGCAAACAGACCUUGAUUACAGUGCAAGGGUAUUCAAGGGACUUUCUCAACUUGAGGCCCAGGAGAGGGGAAAGGGGAAUGGUGCACCUUCUGUAUGCUCAUCUCCUGGACAACCCUGACUAUCAUCUUGGACUUAGAAAACACGAAGCCUCUUGGAGUUGGUGGGAGUAGAUGUGACAACGCCUCCAGCUCUGUACUCACCUGAAUUUCAGGACCAAGCACAGGAGGCUUCUAGAAAGAAGCUGCAGGAGAGCCCAGAAGCUUCAGACAAGAUACAAAGCAAGGAGUACUGGGGGCCAGCAGGAAUGGCUGCCCUGCGGACACUGACAGGUUAUCCAAGGGCUCCCAAGCUACAGGACAGGCCUACUCCACUUUGGGAAGAAAUCUUGUUACUGGGUCUGGAGCAGGGCCAGUACCAGUCCUCCCAGAGGUUAAGGAAUCUUUAGGAAGAGCAGCCAGGCAAGUUUGAGAUGGCAGAAUCCCCCAGAACCCACAAACCAUACAGAGAUGAGAUGGUGGGUCUAUUCUUCAGUAUUGGUUGGGCUUGUUACUUUCACUAGAGAGCCAGCUGCCAGUUGGAGGGACUCCCUGAUGCCAUGUCACAGGUCCCAUCACCUCAUGCCGUAGCUGUGUGAGAGCAGUUCUUCUACACACCCAGAGGUAAAUUGGAGGCUUAGCUCUGGACUGAACUGGUUCUUCUGGACCUUCCCAUGCUCUUCUGGGUACAUUUCUCCAUCCAGCCUACAGUUCAAGUGUGUAGUGGAGUUUGAUGGCAGAAGAGGAAAAGGAACCCUAUGAGAUACUGUGGUCAGCCUUGAGAGUGAGUAAAUGAGGUGUAAUAACCAGGUGUAAUGUCUGGGUUAAUCCAGAGAAACAGAAUCAAUAGGAGAUAUAUAUAUGUGGAAUUGACUCAUGUAAUUAUGGAAGCAGGCAAGUCCCAAGAUCUGAAGGGUGAGUCAGCAAGUUGGAGACUCAGGAGAGUCAAUUCUUUUGUUUCAUUCUGAGUUUGAAGGCCUGAGAACCAGCAAAGCCAAUGUUGGAGUUCCAGUCCAAAGGCUGGCAGGCUCAAGACCCAGGAAGAGCCAAUGUUUCAGUUCUAGUCUGCAGGCAGGAAAAA
RNA transcript from Balaenoptera musculus (blue whale), 3850 nucleotides. It is a transcript of the gene named beta-1,4-galactosyltransferase 7, with no coding region annotated. The record is from RefSeq and is a predicted model, not a curated record. The transcript has 8 exons. Lineage: Eukaryota; Metazoa; Chordata; Mammalia; Artiodactyla; Balaenopteridae.